RNAcentral lists this transfer RNA (84 nucleotides) under Candidatus Servula neotermitis. RNAcentral describes it as "tRNA-Leu". It matches the Rfam family "tRNA". Rfam says of the family: Transfer RNA (tRNA) molecules are approximately 80 nucleotides in length. Their secondary structure includes four short double-helical elements and three loops (D, anti-codon, and T loops). Further hydrogen bonds mediate the characteristic L-shaped molecular structure. tRNAs have two regions of fundamental functional importance: the anti-codon, which is responsible for specific mRNA codon recognition, and the 3' end, to which the tRNAs corresponding amino acid is attached (by aminoacyl-tRNA synthetases). tRNAs cope with the degeneracy of the genetic code in two manners: having more than one tRNA (with a specific anti-codon) for a particular amino acid; and 'wobble' base-pairing, i.e. permitting non-standard base-pairing at the 3rd anti-codon position. Lineage: Bacteria; Bacillati; Actinomycetota; Actinomycetes; Bifidobacteriales; Bifidobacteriaceae. The record is from RNAcentral.
GCGGGUGUGGCGAAAUGGUAGACGCGCUAGGUUUAGGUCCUAGUGGGGUAACCCAUGAAGGUUCAAGUCCUUUCACCCGCACCA